GUGCCUAUUCGAGCACUUCUCACUAGAUUAUAUUUGGUUCCAUAGCUCCAGAAAUCAGAAGAAAGAUGGGAAGCUUUCCACUUCCCUCGUCGUCGUCGUCUCUACUGAUUUCCAGUUCCUCUUCCAUUUCGGGAAGACCAUCAUCCACAAUUUUUUAUCCUCUCAUGCGCUUUAGAAAGGCGCAAGCACUCUCCAUUUCCUGCGAUUACUCCUGUUUCGAAAUAAGGGAUGUGUCUUAUCGACCUCCAGGGACCAAGAUCAACCUAUUGAGUCAAGUCAAUCUUUCAAUUCCUGAGAAAAGUUUUGGCUUGAUAUUUGGACGCAGUGGCAGUGGAAAAACUACUUUAUUGCAGCUGCUUGCAGGGUUAAGCAAACCAACGUCAGGUUCCAUAUGUGUGCAGCGAUAUAGUGAUGAUGGUGAAAAGAUUAAGUCUCCUGAACCCUUACAACCCGAAAGAGUUGGCAUUGUUUUCCAGUUUCCUGAGAGAUACUUUGUUGCUGACACAGUUCUUGAUGAAGUUACAUUUGGGUGGCCAAGACAAAAGGGUGGCCUUCAAUUAAGAGAGCUUCUUGCAUCGAGACUUCAAAAGGCCAUUACCUCGGUUGGUCUAACAGGAAUGUCUUUGGACAAGGAUCCCCACUCAUUAAGCGGUGGCUACAAACGUCGGCUUGCCCUUGCUAUUCAGUUAGUUCAAACACCAAAUUUAUUAAUAUUGGAUGAGCCUCUUGCUGGUCUCGAUUGGAAGGCUCGUGCAGAUGUGGCGAAAUUGUUAAAGAAUCUAAAGAAGGAGCUAACUUUACUUGUUGUCAGCCAUGACCUCAAGAUACAAAAAACUAGGGGUGGCCACUAUUUUUCAUAGGUGAGGUAGAAUUGCAUUCAACUCUCAACUUGAGCAUAUUCGCACAAGGGUAUUUAAUUGGAAGACAAUAAAUCAUCAUUUUGUUUCUGGGAGUUGGCAUCUUUGGUCGAUCAAUCUUGGAGGAUGGAAAUGGGAGGAAUACUUAGAAGAGAGCCACUACCCGUUUAAUACUCGGGAUUUAUUAUGUUCCCAGCCAUUAGUUCUGAUGCAAUGGAUUAGGCAUUAGCACAGCUAUUAGGCCUCUUUAUUGUCGUGUUCUUUCAGUCAAGGCUGAUCCUAGUUAGACUGAGAAAACAAUAAGAAUUUAGUAGUAGUAAAUGAAGCUCAAAAGACAAAAAAAGGCAUGGCGAGUUACCAUUGUAACAAGAGUGAAACUCUCAUCUUUCACUUUAAUUAGAGGUGUCAAAUAAGCAGGUUGGGUUAACGUCCCAAGCCGCCCAUAGUUUGCUUGGGUCAAGAUGGGUUGGUUUAGAAAGGGCUGAGAAGCGUGUCAUAACCCAAUCUGCCCAAGUAGACCAAAUAUAUUUGUCAUAGCUCACUAUGCAACCAAAAUCCUGCUUUCUCAAACCAUGCAGAUCUUAAAUAAUGUAUGUGUAUUUCGGAUGAACCGAAGAAGACUUCGAAGCAUUCAAAUCAUAUGCUCAUAUGCAACUUUCUGUGUUUCUAUGUUA
Molecule: non-coding RNA, 1531 nt
Organism: Nicotiana tabacum (common tobacco)
Lineage: Eukaryota; Viridiplantae; Streptophyta; Magnoliopsida; Solanales; Solanaceae
Source: RefSeq, a predicted model, not a curated record